AGUGAACGCUGGCGGCGUGCUUAACACAUGCACGUCGAACGAGAACGGAUUAUAGCUUGCUAUAAUUGUCAGCUAAGUGGCGCACGGGUGAGUAAUGUAUAGGUAAUAUGCCUCUUACUAAGGGAUAACAAAUGGAAACGUUUGCUAAUACCUUAUACUCCUUAUUAACAGAAGUUAAUAAGGUAAAGAUUUAUUGGUAAGAGAUUAGCCUGUAUUGUAUCAGUUAGUUGGUGGGGUAAUGGCUUACCAAGACUAUGACACAUAACUGGUUUGAGAGGAUGAUCAGUCACACUGGAACUGAGACACGGUCCAGACUCCUACGGGAGGCAGCAGUGGGGAAUAUUGCACAAUGGACGAAAGUCUGAUGCAGCAACGCCGCGUGGAGGAUGACACAUUUCGGUGCGUAAACUCCUUUUAUAUGAGAAGAUAAUGACGGUAUUAUAUGAAUAAGCACCGGCUAACUCCGUGCCAGCCGCCGCAGUAA
Molecule: ribosomal RNA, 484 nt
Filed under: uncultured bacterium
Lineage: Bacteria
Description: partial 16S ribosomal RNA
Rfam family: Bacterial small subunit ribosomal RNA
Source: RNAcentral